RNAcentral lists this ribosomal RNA (252 nucleotides) under uncultured bacterium. Its description in RNAcentral is "partial 16S ribosomal RNA". It matches the Rfam family "Bacterial small subunit ribosomal RNA", at positions 524 to 776 of the family's 1533-position model. The record is from RNAcentral.
UACGUAGGGGGCAAGCGUUAUCCGGAAUUAUUGGGCGUAAAGAGUACGUAGGUGGCAACCUAAGCGCAGGGUUUAAGGCAAUGGCUCAACCAUUGUUCGCCCUGCGAACUGGGAUGCUUGAGUGCAGGAGAGGAGAGCGGAAUUCCUAGUGUAGCGGUGAAAUGCGUAGAUAUUAGGGGGAACACCAGUGGCGAAGGCGGCUUUCUGGACUGUAACUGACACUGAGGUACGAAAGCGUGGGGAGCAAACAGG